UAGGGAAUAUUGGGCAAUGGUCGAGAGACUGACCCAGCCAUGCCGCGUGCAGGAAGAAGGCGCUACGCGUCGUAAACUGCUUUUGUCGGGGAAGAAAAUACUCUUGCGAGAGUGACUGACGGUACCCGACGAAUCAGCACCGGCUAACUCCGUGCCAGCAGCCGCGGUAAUACGGAGGGUGCAAGCGUUGUCCGGAUUCAUUGGGUUUAAAGGGUGCGCAGGCGGGAAAUUAAGUCCGGGGUGAAAGACGGUUGCUCAACAAUCGCAGUGCCUUGGAUACUGGUUUUCUUGGGUGAAGUUGAGGUGGGCGGAAUUCAAGGUGUAGCGGUGAAAUGCAUAGAUACCUUGAAGAACUCCGAUUGCGAAGGCAGCCCACUGGACUUCUACCGACGCUCAGGCACGAAAGCGUGGGGAUCAAACAG
RNAcentral lists this ribosomal RNA (422 nucleotides) under uncultured bacterium. RNAcentral's name for it is "bacterial SSU rRNA". It matches the Rfam family "Bacterial small subunit ribosomal RNA", at positions 355 to 775 of the family's 1533-position model. The record is from RNAcentral.